Mycena galopus ATCC 62051 is the source of this 91-nucleotide non-coding RNA. The record is from the annotation of a GenBank genome assembly. NCBI's taxonomy places the organism in Eukaryota, Fungi, Basidiomycota, Agaricomycetes, Agaricales, Mycenaceae.
GCUCCAAUGGGUCAGUGGUAGACUAGCCUGCUAAUUUCUAAAGGUUCCUCUGUGCAGCAGGCAGACAUUUGUUCGAAUCCUGCUUGGAGCG